This 253-nucleotide ribosomal RNA is filed under the name uncultured bacterium. Its description in RNAcentral is "partial 16S ribosomal RNA". It matches the Rfam family "Bacterial small subunit ribosomal RNA", at positions 524 to 776 of the family's 1533-position model. The record is from RNAcentral.
UACGUAGGCAGCGAGCGUUGUUCGGAGUUACUGGGCGUAAAGGGUGUGUAGGCGGUUGUUUAAGUUUGGUGUGAAAUCUCCCGGCUCAACCGGGAGGGUGCGCCGAAUACUGAAUGACUAGAGUGCGGGAGAGGAAAGUGGAAUUCCUGGUGUAGCGGUGAAAUGCGCAGAUAUCAGGAAGAACACCCGUGGCGAAGGCGGCUCUCUGGGACGGUACUGACGCUGAGACGCGAAAGCGUGGGGAGCGAACAGG